Molecule: long non-coding RNA, 849 nt
Organism: Scomber scombrus (Atlantic mackerel)
Lineage: Eukaryota; Metazoa; Chordata; Actinopteri; Scombriformes; Scombridae
Exons: 2
Source: RefSeq, a predicted model, not a curated record
AAAUGGAUUAAAAGCAGAAAUGUUAUACUCGGUUCACAAGAAAAGAAUGUGUGCAACGUUUUCAUGCAUUUAUUUUCAAAUUUUAACCCUUUUAAAUUGGACUAAACCACAUGGAAACAAAAACGUUGCGUCAUGUCAUUGACCCCUUUAUGUACAGCACAUAGUACACGUGGCCCUCACUCUUUCUGAGGGUGCACUGACAAUAGUUUUACAUAACACAAAACAACCUCAUUCAGAUGCCACUUUAACUUUUAAUAGACUUUGGGAUCCUCAAGCCACAUUGAAGUUUCAUUUAGCAGUAAAUGUUUUGGGAUAUUCAUGGUGAAAUGAGUCACUUGAGGGAAUGCAGGUCGGUUGUUGUGAAUGUAAAUUGGAGCCAAUCAAUGAAAGUGAAGUAGAAGAAGCAUGAAGGAAACAAUCAGCCAGUCCCCAGCCUUACUCACAGUACUCCCAUCUUUGACUCUAUUAACACACAAAAGCAGUUGCUUUGAACCAUAAAAACUUUUAAAACUUUGUUGCAGCUUUCAUUGGCCAGUGUUUUGCAGAAAUCACUAAAUGCUCUCUGGAAGUUACUUCUGUGGUGUCAACUAGAGAAAAAUAUGAAUGCCCAAAAGACAGUGAGUGCAAACAGAUUACAUUUAUGCAAAAUACAAGCAUGCAAACAACAAUCCUAAACGUUACAUGCAUAAAAGACAGGUGGUAUCCUUUGAGAUUUAUGAAUCUGAUAUUAAAUGUGAAAUCUAUUCACUUCUCUUUAACGCAACAAAAAAGGAGCUGCUGUAAAUAACAAGUCUACUAUGAUAAAUGACUUUAACAGGCUGAGUAGUUAUUUGUUUUUAUGAAAUAGUG